This 491-nucleotide long non-coding RNA is filed under the name Homo sapiens (human). RNAcentral describes it as "non-protein coding lnc-SOX5-5:25". Lineage: Eukaryota; Metazoa; Chordata; Mammalia; Primates; Hominidae. The record is from RNAcentral.
ACACACACACAGAGUGAAAAAGGCGAGCCACCAAAACCCAUCUCCAGUCUCCUCCCGGGGGCCCCCAGCCCGCCUCUGUGCCACUUUGCAUCCCACGCCGGAGGAGGCAUUAACGAGACCGGUGCUGCAUUCUUACAACCCUAAAAUCCAUCUGCUCUUAACACACCGUCAAAAAGAGGGGGAAAUGCAUCUCCGAGGGAGUGCUCGAGAGAAGAUAAUGGAAUGGUCUGAUGUAAUCCCAUACAAAUUAUUCCUCAUGAUGUGAAAAUGCUUUUACAGGGACCUGGGAGAUUUCUAAACUGAGUGCUGUGCUGGCCAUUGGUGACCCAAAGAUGAUGAAAAAUAUGUUCCUGCCCACAAGGAGUUAGCGACCUACUGGGGUUUUUCUCAGAAAUUACGUACUCUACGGCUGCCCAUCCUAUUCAAGAAUGAGGCAAUAGAAAAGCAUUUGCAAAAGUUAGUUACAAAUGUGGGGCUUGACGUUGAGCUAA